This 677-nucleotide ribosomal RNA is filed under the name uncultured prokaryote. Its description in RNAcentral is "bacterial SSU rRNA". It matches the Rfam family "Bacterial small subunit ribosomal RNA", at positions 28 to 723 of the family's 1533-position model. The record is from RNAcentral.
GAUGAACGCUGACAGAAUGCUUAACACAUGCAAGUCGAUUCGAUUUACCUUCGGGUAUUGAGGAUGGCGGACGGGUGAGUAACGCGUAAGGAACUUGCCUCUUGGUCUGGGACAACUGUUGGAAACGACAGCUAAUACCGGAUAUUAUGAGAUUCUCGCAUGGGAAACUUAUGAAAGCUAUAUGCGCCAAGAGAGAGCCUUGCGUUCCAUUAGCUAGUUGGUGGGGUAACGGCCCACCAAGGCGACGAUGGAUAGCCGGCCUGAGAGGGUGAACGGCCACAAGGGGACUGAGACACGGCCCUUACUCCUACGGGAGGCAGCAGUGGGGAAUAUUGGACAAUGGACCAAAAGUCUGAUCCAGCAAUUCUGUGUGCACGAUGAAGGUCUUCGGAUUGUAAAGUGCUUUCAGUUGGGAAGAAGCAAGUGACGGUACCAACAGAAGAAGCGACGGCUAAAUACGUGCCAGCAGCCGCGGUAAUACGUAUGUCGCAAGCGUUAUCCGGAUUUAUUGNGCGUAAAGCGCGUCUAGGCGGAAAAAUAAGUCUGAUGUUAAAAUGCGGGGCUCAACUCCGUAUUGCGUUGGAAACUGUUUUUCUAGAGUACUGGANAGGUGGGCGGAACUACAAGUGUAGAGGUGAAAUUCGUAGAUAUUUGUAGGAAUGCCGAUGGAGAANUCA